This 354-nucleotide ribosomal RNA is filed under the name Carideicomes alvinocaridis. RNAcentral describes it as "bacterial SSU rRNA". It matches the Rfam family "Bacterial small subunit ribosomal RNA", at positions 971 to 1325 of the family's 1533-position model. Lineage: Bacteria; Pseudomonadati; Pseudomonadota; Alphaproteobacteria; Rhodobacterales; Paracoccaceae. The record is from RNAcentral.
UUACCUACUCUUGACAUCCUAAGAAGAGCUCAGAGAUGAGCUUGUGCCUUCGGGAACUUAGAGACAGGUGCUGCAUGGCUGUCGUCAGCUCGUGUUGUGAAAUGUUGGGUUAAGUCCCGCAACGAGCGCAACCCUUAUCCUUUGUUGCCAGCGGUUCGGCCGGGAACUCAAAGGAGACUGCCAGUGAUAAACUGGAGGAAGGUGGGGAUGACGUCAAGUCAUCAUGGCCCUUACGAGUAGGGCUACACACGUGCUACAAUGGCGUAUACARAGAGAAGCGACCUCGCGAGAGCAAGCGGACCUCAUAAAGUACGUCGUAGUCCGGAUUGGAGUCUGCAACUCGACUCCAUGAAG